Molecule: transfer RNA, 71 nt
Filed under: Ictidomys tridecemlineatus (thirteen-lined ground squirrel)
Lineage: Eukaryota; Metazoa; Chordata; Mammalia; Rodentia; Sciuridae
Description: Spermophilus tridecemlineatus (thirteen-lined ground squirrel) tRNA
Rfam family: tRNA
About the family: Transfer RNA (tRNA) molecules are approximately 80 nucleotides in length. Their secondary structure includes four short double-helical elements and three loops (D, anti-codon, and T loops).
Source: Rfam by way of RNAcentral
GGGGUUGUGGCUCAGAGGUAGAGCACUUGCCUAGCAUGUGUGAGGCACUGGGUUCAAUUCUCAGCACCUCA